UCGAACGAUGAAACUUAGUAGACUUCUUCGGAAAGACACUAAGCGGAUUAGUGGCGAACGGGUGAGUAACGCGUGAGUAACCUGCCUUACACAAGGGGAUAGCCUUUGGAAACGAAGAAUAAUACCCUAUAAAACCAUAAAAGCACAUGCUAGAAUGGUCAAAGUGAUAGCGGUGUAAGAUGGACUUGCGUCUGAUUAGCUAGUUGGUGAGAUAAAAGCUCACCAAGGCAACGAUCAGUAGCCGGCUUGAGAGAGUGUACGGCCACAUUGGGACUGAGACACGGCCCAGACUCCUACGGGAGGCAGCAGUGGGGAAUUUUGCACAAUGGGGGAAACCCUGAUGCAGCGACGCCGCGUGAUUUAGAAGGCCUUCGGGUUGUAAAAAUCUUUUGUAUAGGAAGAAAAUGACAGUACUAUACGAAUAAGGUCCGGCUAAUUACGUGCCAGCAGCCGCGGUAAUACGUAAGGACCGAGCGUUGUCCGGAAUCAUUGGGCGUAAAGGGUACGUAGGCGGCUAGAAAAGUUAGAAGUCAAAGGCUAUAGCUCAACUAUAGUAAGCUUCUAAAACUAUUUAGCUUGAGAAAUGGAAGGGAAAGUGGAAUUCCUAGUGUAGCGGUGGAAUGCGCAGAUAUUAGGAAGAAUACCGGUGGCGAAGGCGACUUUCUGGCCAUUAUCUGACGCUGAGGUACGAAAGCGUGGGUAGCAAAC
This 708-nucleotide ribosomal RNA is filed under the name uncultured Eubacteriales bacterium. Its description in RNAcentral is "bacterial SSU rRNA". It matches the Rfam family "Bacterial small subunit ribosomal RNA", at positions 62 to 773 of the family's 1533-position model. Lineage: Bacteria; Bacillati; Bacillota; Clostridia; Eubacteriales. The record is from RNAcentral.